AGAGUUUGAUCCUGGCUCAGGAUGAACGCUAGCUACAGGCUUAACACAUGCAAGUCGAGGGGCAGCAUGUUGGUUGCUUGCAACCAACGAUGGCGACCGGCGCACGGGUGAGUAACGCGUAUCCAACCUACCCUUGUCCAUCGGAUAACCCGUCGAAAGGCGGCCUAACACGAUAUGCGGUUCACAGCAGGCAUCUAACGUGAACGAAAUGUGAAGGAGAAGGAUGGGGAUGCGUCUGAUUAGCUUGUUGGCGGGGUAACGCCACCAAGGCUACGAUCAGUAGGGGUUCUGAGAGGAAGGUCCCCCANAUUGGAACUGAGACACGGUCCAAACUCCGUACGGGAGGCA
RNAcentral lists this ribosomal RNA (348 nucleotides) under uncultured bacterium. Its description in RNAcentral is "bacterial SSU rRNA". It matches the Rfam family "Bacterial small subunit ribosomal RNA", at positions 8 to 350 of the family's 1533-position model. The record is from RNAcentral.